AUCGUCGAUCUGCUGGGGGCAGAUGAAAUGAAUGUGGCUGUCGAUGCCCCCGGCGGUCAGAAUACGGCCCUCACCGGCGAUCGCCUCCGUGCCGGGGCCUACGAUGAUGUUCACGCCCGGUUGAGUGUCCGGGUUUCCCGCCUUGCCGAUCCCGACGAUGCGGCCGUCCUUAAGGCCGACAUCGGCCUUGAUCACACCGGUCCAGUCGACGAUCAGGGCAUUGGUGAUGACCGUAUCGACGGCGCCGGCGGCGCGGGUGAUCUGGCUCUGCCCCAUGCCGUCGCGGAU
RNAcentral lists this small RNA (288 nucleotides) under Flavimaricola marinus. Its description in RNAcentral is "Loktanella marina 5' ureB small RNA". It matches the Rfam family "5' ureB small RNA". Lineage: Bacteria; Pseudomonadati; Pseudomonadota; Alphaproteobacteria; Rhodobacterales; Paracoccaceae. The record is from Rfam by way of RNAcentral.